GACGACGGCUGGCGGCGUGCCUGACACAUGCAAGUCGGACGGUUCUUGUAUCUUCAAGCUUGCUUGCAGGUGCAAGGAUAGUGGCGGACGGGUGAGUAACGCGUGAACAUCUACCCAUUGGAGGGGGACAACCCGUCGAAAGGCGGGCUAAUACCGCGUAAGCCGCGAGGUGAGAGGCUGCCUAUUGGUGGCCGCCGAUGGAUGGGUUCGCGUCCUAUCAGCUGGUUGGUGGGGUAACGGCCUACCAAGGCGAAGACGGGUAGCCGGUCUGAGAGGAUGGCCGGCCACACUGGAACUGAGACACGGUCCAGACUCCUACGGGAGGCAGCAGUGGGGAAUAUUGGGCAAUGGGGGAGACCCUGACCCAGCGACGCCGCGUGAGGGAUGAAGGUUUUCGGAUCGUAAACCUCUGUUGUACGGGAAGAAGGAUGUGACGGUACCGUACGAGAAAGCCCCGGCAAACUACGUG
RNAcentral lists this ribosomal RNA (469 nucleotides) under uncultured bacterium. RNAcentral describes it as "bacterial SSU rRNA". It matches the Rfam family "Bacterial small subunit ribosomal RNA", at positions 28 to 507 of the family's 1533-position model. The record is from RNAcentral.